This 396-nucleotide ribosomal RNA is filed under the name Triticum aestivum (bread wheat). Its description in RNAcentral is "partial small subunit ribosomal RNA". Lineage: Eukaryota; Viridiplantae; Streptophyta; Magnoliopsida; Poales; Poaceae. The record is from RNAcentral.
AUGGAAAUCAAGCAACUAGAGGAUGAAAAAUUUGUGAAAGAGAGGGUGUCUGACCUGAAACGACAAGCAGAUGAAGCAUUCAAAAACCAGGAUUAUCUAAAUGCAUCAGUGCUCUACACACAGGCACUGAAGAUGGAUAACUUCGACGCCAAGUUGUUGUCAAACAGGAGUCUUUGCUGGCUUCGCAUUGGUGAUGGACAAAGGGCUUUUGAUGAUGCAACUAAAUGCAAAAGGCUGCGUCCAAAGUGGGCAAAGGCGCACUAUCGACAAGGAGCAGCUCUAAUGUUCAUGAAGAAGUAUGCUGCUGCGUAUUCCGCACUCUCACGCGCUUUAGAGUUGGACCCGGAAAGCGAAGAGACCGAGAAAUUAUUCUGGGAGGCGAUGGAACUUAAGUGA